AGUGAACGCUGGCGGUAGGCCUAACACAUGCAAGUCGAACGGCAGCACAGUAAGAGCUUGCUCUUACGGGUGGCGAGUGGCGGACGGGUGAGGAAUACAUCGGAAUCUACUUUUUCGUGGGGGAUAACGUAGGGAAACUUACGCUAAUACCGCAUACGACCUACGGGUGAAAGCAGGGGAUCUUCGGACCUUGCGCGAUUGAAUGAGCCGAUGUCGGAUUAGCUAGUUGGCGGGGUAAAGGCCCACCAAGGCGACGAUCCGUAGCUGGUCUGAGAGGAUGAUCAGCCACCAUGGAACUGAGGAACGGUCCAAGCUCCUGCGGGGGGCAGCAGUUGGGAAUAUUGGACGAAGGGGGCAAACCUUAACCAGCCAUUCCCCGGGGGGGAAGAAGGCCUUCGGGUUGUUAAGCCCUUUUGUUGGGAAAGAAAAGCAGCAGGUUAAUACCCCGCUGUUCUGACGGUACCCAAAGAAUAAGCACCGGCUAACUUCGUG
RNAcentral lists this ribosomal RNA (492 nucleotides) under uncultured bacterium. Its description in RNAcentral is "partial 16S ribosomal RNA". It matches the Rfam family "Bacterial small subunit ribosomal RNA", at positions 29 to 507 of the family's 1533-position model. The record is from RNAcentral.